This 123-nucleotide ribosomal RNA is filed under the name Segatella copri. RNAcentral describes it as "partial 16S ribosomal RNA". It matches the Rfam family "Bacterial small subunit ribosomal RNA", at positions 1 to 108 of the family's 1533-position model. Lineage: Bacteria; Pseudomonadati; Bacteroidota; Bacteroidia; Bacteroidales; Prevotellaceae. The record is from RNAcentral.
UUUUACAAUGGAGAGUUUGAUCCUGGCUCAGGAUGAACGCUAGCUACAGGCUUAACACAUGCAAGUCGAGGGGAAACGACAUCGAAAGCUUGCUUUUGAUGGGCGUCGACCGGCGCACGGGUG